This is an RNA transcript of Populus euphratica (Euphrates poplar), 2237 nucleotides long. It is a transcript of the gene named heterogeneous nuclear ribonucleoprotein 1-like, with no coding region annotated. The record is from RefSeq and is a predicted model, not a curated record. Lineage: Eukaryota; Viridiplantae; Streptophyta; Magnoliopsida; Malpighiales; Salicaceae. The transcript has 7 exons.
UCUUUGUGUCUUUCUUUGAUAAAAUUUUAAUCAUCAACAACAACGACAACAGUAACUUGCAAAGAGAGAAAGAGGGAGGAGAGAGAGCAAAAAAGAAAGGGUCUCUCUCACCCUCUCAUAUUGUUAUUUUUCCUCGCAGAUCUUAGAUUCUUCCAGUUUCCUAUCUGGGUUCUUCUUCUUUUUUUUUCCUGGAUUCCUGGAUUGCUUUUGAUUGAUAUUUGAUUGCUCAAAGGUUGUUUCUACUUUUGGAUUUAAUCCAAGAGUGACCUUUUGUUGUAAAUAUCCAAGCUUUGCUUUGUAUUUUUGACAAGUGAGUAUUGGAUUGUAUUUUGCUGCAGUGGUGUCCAAUUGUGUGUUAGAAUUAAGAUCUGGUGUUUGAUUGAAUGGAAAUGGAGCUUGGAAAGUUGUUCAUUGGUGGGAUUUCAUGGGACACGAACGAAGACCGUCUUAAGGAGUAUUUCCGGGCUUUUGGGGAAGUUUUAGAAACUGUCAUAAUGAAGGAUCGGGCCACGGGUCGUGCUCGAGGAUUUGGUUUUGUUGUUUUCGCAGACCCUGCUGUUGCUGAGAGAGUUGUGAUGGAAAAGCACCUUAUAGAUGGUAGAAAUGUUGAGGCAAAGAAGGCAGUUCCUAGAGAGGAUCAGAACACCCUGAACAAAAACAGUAGCAGUGUUAAUGGUUCACCUGGCCCAGCCCGAACAAAGAAGAUAUUUGUAGGAGGUUUAGCAUCUACAGUUACAGAGAGUGACUUUAGGAAGUACUUUGAUCAGUUUGGGAUGAUUACAGAUGUGGUAGUUAUGUAUGAUCACAACACUCAAAGGCCAAGAGGUUUUGGAUUCAUCACCUACGAUUCAGAGGAAGCAGUGGAUAGAGUAUUGCACAAAACCUUUCAUGAACUCAAUGGUAAAAUGGUUGAGGUCAAGCGGGCUGUCCCUAAAGAGUUAUCUCCAGGGCCAACUAGGAACCAGUUAGGGGGUUUUAAUUAUAGUCCUAGUAGAGCCAGUAGCUUCCUCAAUGGUUACACUCAGGGAUACAAUCCAAGUUUUGUUGGAGGGUAUGGUGUUAGAAUGGAUGGCAGGUUUAGUCCUGUUACUGCUGGGCGGAGUAACUUUUCUCCAUUUGGUAGUGGUUAUGGGAUGGGAUUGAACUUUGAGCAGGUGUUGAACCCAAUUUAUGGGGGAAAUUCAAACACCAGUUCUAAUGCUGGCUACGGACGAGUAAGUCCUUCAUAUAGUGGAAAUGCAAGCAGGUACAGCAACCCCAUUGGAUUUAGUGGAGGCAAUGGAGGAAGCAGUUCUGCCUUAAAUCCAAUUGCCCACUCUUUAUGGGGAAAUGGAAGUAUUAAUCAUGGUUCUAACACCACAAACUCCAGUUCUUUUAUGAGCUUUGGAAUGGGGAGCUCAGGAAUGGGUUCUUUUAGCAGUGUGGGAGCACUUUGGGGUUCCUCUGCUAAUUCUGAACAAGGUGGAGGGUUUCGCUCAGUCAAUAGCAGUAAUCUUAGCUUUGGUGGUGGAGAUUUUGAUAUUGGUCUAGGAGGAGUGGGGUAUGGAAGGAACAGUAGGACAGGUGUUGCACCAGCAUCAUCUCAUGCUGCAUCUAAUGGUGGUUAUGAUGGGGCUUAUGCAGACUUUUAUGAGAAGGGCUCAUUAUACGGGGAUAAUACCUGGCAAUCUUCACCUUCGGAACUGGAUGUGUCUGGCUCAUUUGGUUUUGGGCUUGGAAAUGCAACUUCUGAUGUUAUGACUAAAAAUUCUGCUGGUUAUGUUGGUGGUUAUAGUGUUGCUAAUAGACAAUCAAAUAGAGAAAAGUGUGUGAAUAAAAAUAACCCAUGAGACGAAUUUCUUGGCGCUUUGCUGAACGUUACUCGAUACAUUCACUUUAUCCAGAUUAUCAUGUGCAAAUUAUCUGAUGGAGAUUGUCUGAGUCCGUACUUCUUUAUCACUUAGUUCUUACUUUCAACUUGGAAUUGCUGCAUAGGAUGAUUAUGAUAUAGGUGAUGGUGAAGUGAACUUCGUACAUGUUUCUUGUCCAGAUGAUCAUGUUUCAACUUUGCUCAUCAUAUAGAGCAGUCACAAGGAAAUCUGUGUAUGGUUUGAGCUUUUGAGAUUUUUCUAAUAUAGGUUUUCUUUCUUGGAAUUUUAUUAAGAUGUAAAAUCACAUUGUGGGGUAUACUCAACAUGAUUGUAUGAUGCAUCUUUGGUGACAGCUAUAUUAAAAAAGGAAACAAUUUUUUAGCAUUA